GGAGGGAAAGCUCAGUGGUAGAGUGCUUGCUUUAGUAUGCACGAGGUCCUGGGUUCAAUCCCCAGUACCUCCU
RNAcentral lists this transfer RNA (73 nucleotides) under Camelus bactrianus (Bactrian camel). It matches the Rfam family "tRNA". Rfam says of the family: Transfer RNA (tRNA) molecules are approximately 80 nucleotides in length. Their secondary structure includes four short double-helical elements and three loops (D, anti-codon, and T loops). Further hydrogen bonds mediate the characteristic L-shaped molecular structure. tRNAs have two regions of fundamental functional importance: the anti-codon, which is responsible for specific mRNA codon recognition, and the 3' end, to which the tRNAs corresponding amino acid is attached (by aminoacyl-tRNA synthetases). tRNAs cope with the degeneracy of the genetic code in two manners: having more than one tRNA (with a specific anti-codon) for a particular amino acid; and 'wobble' base-pairing, i.e. permitting non-standard base-pairing at the 3rd anti-codon position. The record is from Rfam by way of RNAcentral. RNAcentral also lists the same sequence under 2 other names. Lineage: Eukaryota; Metazoa; Chordata; Mammalia; Artiodactyla; Camelidae.